This 440-nucleotide ribosomal RNA is filed under the name uncultured bacterium. RNAcentral's name for it is "partial 16S ribosomal RNA". It matches the Rfam family "Bacterial small subunit ribosomal RNA", at positions 338 to 795 of the family's 1533-position model. The record is from RNAcentral.
CCUACGGGAUGCAGCAGUAGGGAAUAUUGCUCAAUGGGGGAAACCCUGAAGCAGCAACGCCGCGUGGAGGAUGAAGGUUUUAGGAUUGUAAACUCCUUUUGUGAGAGAAGAUAAUGACGGUAUCUCACGAAUAAGCACCGGCUAACUCCGUGCCAGCAGCCGCGGUAAUACGGAGGGUGCAAGCGUUACUCGGAAUCACUGGGCGUAAAGAGUGCGCAGGCGGGCUUGUAAGUCAGAUGUGAAAUCCUGUGGCUUAACUACAGAACUGCAUUUGAUACUAUGAGUCUAGAGUGUGGGAGAGGUAGGUGGAAUUCUUGGUGUAGGGGUAAAAGCCGUAGAUAUCAAGAGGAAUACUCAUUGCGAAGGCGACCUACUGGAACAUUACUGACGCUCAUGCACGAAAGCGUGGGGAGCAAACAGGAUUAGAUACCCCUGUAGUC